CCUACGGGAGGCAGCAGUGAGGAAUAUUGGUCAAUGGACGCAAGUCUGAACCAGCCAUGCCGCGUGCAGGAAGACGGCUCUAUGAGUUGUAAACUGCUUUUGUACGGGGGUAAACGCAGAUACGCGUAUCUGUCUGAAAGUAUCGUACGAAUAAGGAUCGGCUAACUCCGUGCCAGCAGCCGCGGUAAUACGGAGGAUUCAAGCGUUAUCCGGAUUUAUUGGGUUUAAAGGGUGCGUAGGCGGUCGGAUAAGUUAGAGGUGAAAUCCCGAGGCUCAACUUCGGAAUUGCCUCUGAUACUGUUCGGCGAGAGAGUAGUUGCGGUAGGCGGAAUGUAUGGUGUAGCGGUGAAAUGCUUAGAGAUCAUACAGAACACCGAUUGCGAAGGCAGCUUACCAAGCUACUUCUGACGUUGAGGCACGAUAGCGUGGGGAGCAAACAGGAUUAGAUACCCGAGUAGUC
RNAcentral lists this ribosomal RNA (460 nucleotides) under uncultured bacterium. Its description in RNAcentral is "partial 16S ribosomal RNA". It matches the Rfam family "Bacterial small subunit ribosomal RNA", at positions 338 to 795 of the family's 1533-position model. The record is from RNAcentral.